UACGUAGGGGGCAAGCGUUGUCCGGAAUCAUUGGGCGUAAAGAGCGCGUAGGCGGCCCUGUAAGUCCGCUGUGAAAGUCAAGGGCUCAACCCUUGGAUGCCGGUGGAUACUGCAGGGCUAGAGUCCGGAAGAGGCGAGUGGAAUUCCUGGUGUAGCGGUGAAAUGCGCAGAUAUCAGGAGGAACACCAAUUGCGAAGGCAGCUCGCUGGGACGUUACUGACGCUGAGACGCGAAAGCGUGGGGAGCAAACAGG
This 253-nucleotide ribosomal RNA is filed under the name uncultured bacterium. Its description in RNAcentral is "partial 16S ribosomal RNA". It matches the Rfam family "Bacterial small subunit ribosomal RNA", at positions 524 to 776 of the family's 1533-position model. The record is from RNAcentral.